Long non-coding RNA from Thunnus maccoyii (southern bluefin tuna), 559 nucleotides. RefSeq lists it as uncharacterized. NCBI's taxonomy places the organism in Eukaryota, Metazoa, Chordata, Actinopteri, Scombriformes, Scombridae. The transcript is spliced from 3 exons. The record is from RefSeq and is a predicted model, not a curated record.
UCCAGCCUGUCACCUCCACAGCCAAAAGCGCACAGAUGUCCAACUAAAAUGUCCAGUCCGGAGUCAGUUCAGAUGUAACUGCCUGUCCAGGAGAAGGAGGGAGCAAGGAAGAUGAGGUGAAACAUGGAAAGAUCAACAGAUGGAGAGAGGAAAAGGAGAGAAACACAGAACUGCAGGCUUUCACUCAGAUCCGAUGCAGUUUGAUUGGAAAAGCAGUCUGUCCUGUGACCAGAAGAUCCCAAGUGUGAUCAUUGUUCCCACAAGAGCUUCACCCUGUACUGAAGUGAACUUGAGAGAAGCUCUGGAUCUCUGCCAGCUGCAGGGAGAGUUGAUGCUGACAGCAGACCUGCAGGCCUUCAGAUAAGAAGCAAAACUUCCACCUCAAGAAGUCAAACACAGCACCUCUGUAGUACAGUUCAGCUGGUGUCCUUGCAAAAUGAACAUAUGGGCUCUUUUUCAGUAUAAAACAUCACACCUGAAACUAGGCGUCAUAUGAAGAGUGAGUAUCUGUUGGUUUCAAACAGAGGAAAAAAAGAAAAGAGGGUUUAAACACACAACA